This 525-nucleotide ribosomal RNA is filed under the name uncultured bacterium. Its description in RNAcentral is "bacterial SSU rRNA". It matches the Rfam family "Bacterial small subunit ribosomal RNA", at positions 9 to 524 of the family's 1533-position model. The record is from RNAcentral.
GAGUUUGAUCGUGGCUCAGGACGAACGCUGGCGGCGCGCUUAACACAUGCAAGUCGAGCGAGAACCAGUCCUUCGGGACUGGGAAAGCGGCGAACGGGUGAGUAACACGUGGGCAACCCACCCUUGGUAUCCGGAUAGCCCGGGGAAACUCGGAUUAAUACGGAAUAGCCCAACAGCUCUUCGGAGCGGUUGGAAAAGGUAGCUUCGGCCUCCGACCAAGGACGGGCCCGCGGUGGAUUAGCUUGUUGGUGAGGUAACGGCCCACCAAGGCGACGAUCCAUAGCUGGUCUGAGAGGACGAUCAGCCACACUGGGACUGAGACACGGCCCAGACUCCUACGGGAGGCAGCAGUGGGGAAUCUUGCGCAAUGGGCGAAAGCCUGACGCAGCGACGCCGCGUGGGGGAAGAAGGCUUUCGGGUGUAACCCAUUUCAGGAGAGACGAAGCCACUCAGGUUAAUAGCCGAGAGGGUGACGGUACCUCCAGAAGAAGCCCCGGCUAACUACGUGCCAGCCGCCGCCGUAAG